RNAcentral lists this ribosomal RNA (465 nucleotides) under Staphylococcus aureus. RNAcentral describes it as "bacterial SSU rRNA". It matches the Rfam family "Bacterial small subunit ribosomal RNA", at positions 339 to 796 of the family's 1533-position model. The record is from RNAcentral. Lineage: Bacteria; Bacillati; Bacillota; Bacilli; Caryophanales; Staphylococcaceae.
CUACGGGAGGCAGCAGUAGGGAAUCUUCCGCAAUGGGCGAAAGCCUGACGGAGCAACGCCGCGUGAGUGAUGAAGGUCUUCGGAUCGUAAAACUCUGUUAUUAGGGAAGAACAUAUGUGUAAGUAACUGUGCACAUCUUGACGGUACCUAAUCAGAAAGCCACGGCUAACUACGUGCCAGCAGCCGCGGUAAUACGUAGGUGGCAAGCGUUAUCCGGAAUUACUGGGCGUAAAGCGCGCGUAGGUGGUUUGUUAAGUCUGAUGUGAAAUCCCACGGCUCAACCGGGGAGGGUCAUUGGAAACUGGAAAACUUGAGUGCGGAAGAGGAAAGUGGAAUUCCAUGUGUAGCGGUGAAAUGCGCAGAGAUAUGGAGGAACACCAGUGGCGAAGGCGACUUUCUGGUCUGUAACUGACGCUGAUGUGCGAAAGCGUGGGGAUCAAACAGGAUUAGAUACCCUGGUAGUCC